GAUCAUCCACACAAAGCUUCUGAUCUGAUCGGCUCCUCACGAAUGCUAGUUCAUGGCUGAACUCCUUUGAUGGCCGAUGUUGAUCGAACUCCUUCGAUCUUGAUCUGUCGACUCCUCGGAUACUUCAGAUCAUUAGCAGAUGCACUUGAGAGGUUGAUGAUGCUCUCCCAAAAGUUUGGUGGGCUCACGACACUCGUAGCUCACAUUCUCACUUCCCGAACCCUAAGCCAAAACCCUAGGGUACACUCUGAAGAAACUUGCGCCCACUUGUUUCUUUCCUUUCUCUCCUUUUCUUUUCUUUUUCCAUGCAAGAAAGCUCUCUCAUGCCACCCUUCUCUCUCAG
RNAcentral lists this long non-coding RNA (343 nucleotides) under Elaeis guineensis (African oil palm). RNAcentral describes it as "long non-coding RNA (EGUI_LNC063637)". Lineage: Eukaryota; Viridiplantae; Streptophyta; Magnoliopsida; Arecales; Arecaceae. The record is from RNAcentral.